Molecule: ribosomal RNA, 411 nt
Filed under: uncultured bacterium
Lineage: Bacteria
Description: bacterial SSU rRNA
Rfam family: Bacterial small subunit ribosomal RNA
Source: RNAcentral
GUGUCAGCCGCCGCGGUAAUACGUAGGGUGCAAGCGUUAAUCGGAAUUACUGGGCGUAAAGCGUGCGCAGGCGGUUUGCUAAGACCGAUGUGAAAUCCCCGGGCUCAACCUGGGAACUGCAUUGGUGACUGGCAGGCUAGAGUAUGGCAGAGGGGGGUAGAAUUCCACGUGUAGCAGUGAAAUGCGUAGAGAUGUGGAGGAAUACCGAUGGCGAAGGCAGCCCCCUGGGCCAAUACUGACGCUCAUGCACGAAAGCGUGGGGAGCAAACAGGAUUAGAUACCCUGGUAGUCCACGCCCUAAACGAUGUCAACUAGUUGUUGGGGAUUCAUUUCCUUAGUAACGUAGCUAACGCGUGAAGUUGACCGCCUGGGGAGUACGGUCGCAAGAUUAAAACUUAAAUGAAUUGGCGG